Molecule: ribosomal RNA, 1344 nt
Filed under: Brevibacillus centrosporus
Lineage: Bacteria; Bacillati; Bacillota; Bacilli; Caryophanales; Paenibacillaceae
Also listed under: 1 other name
Description: 23S rRNA. Bacterial LSU
Rfam family: Bacterial large subunit ribosomal RNA
Source: RNAcentral
AGUACCGAAGUCCCUGAUUUCACACUGCCAAGAAAAGCGUCUAGCGAGGAACAAGGUGCCCGUACCGCAAACCGACACAGGUAGGCGAGGAGAGAAUCCUAAGGUGCGCGGGAUAACUCUUGCUAAGGAACUCGGCAAAAUGGCCCCGUAACUUCGGGAGAAGGGGCGCCUCGGUAGGGUUAAUAGCCCGAGGGGGCCGCAGUGAAAAGGCCCAAGCGACUGUUUAGCAAAAACACAGGUCUCUGCGAAGCCGCAAGGCGAAGUAUAGGGGCUGACGCCUGCCCGGUGCUGGAAGGUUAAGGGGAUGGGUUAGCGCAAGCGAAGCUUUGAACCGAAGCCCCAGUAAACGGCGGCCGUAACUAUAACGGUCCUAAGGUAGCGAAAUUCCUUGUCGGGUAAGUUCCGACCCGCACGAAAGGCGUAACGACUUGGGCGCUGUCUCGGCAAGAGACCCGGUGAAAUCAUAAUACCUGUGAAGAUGCAGGUUACCCGCGACAAGACGGAAAGACCCCAUGGAGCUUUACUGUAGCCUGGUAUUGGAACUUUGUGCAUCAUGUACAGGAUAGGUGGGAAGCUGAGAAGCAGGGGCGCCAGCCUCUGUGGAGCUGUCGGUGGGAUACCACCCUUGAUGUACGGAGUUUCUAACUCGUCGCCCUUAUCGGGCGAGAGGACCAUGCCAGGUGGGCAGUUUGACUGGGGCGGUCGCCUCCCAAAAGGUAACGGAGGCGCCCAAAGGUUCCCUCAGAAUGGUCGGAAAUCAUUCGUAGAGUGUAAAGGCAGAAGGGAGCUUGACUGCGAGACCUACAAGUCGAGCAGGGACGAAAGUCGGGCUUAGUGAUCCGGUGGUUCCGCAUGGAAGGGCCAUCGCUCAACGGAUAAAAGCUACCCUGGGGAUAACAGGCUUAUCUCCCCCAAGAGUCCACAUCGACGGGGAGGUUUGGCACCUCGAUGUCGGCUCAUCGCAUCCUGGGGCUGAAGUAGGUCCCAAGGGUUGGGCUGUUCGCCCAUUAAAGCGGUACGCGAGCUGGGUUCAGAACGUCGUGAGACAGUUCGGUCCCUAUCUGUCGCGGGCGUAGGAAGUUUGAGGAGAGCUGUCCUUAGUACGAGAGGACCGGGAUGGACGCACCGCUGGUGCACCAGUUGUCACGCCAGUGGCACAGCUGGGUAGCUAUGUGCGGACGGGAUAAGCGCUGAAAGCAUCUAAGCGUGAAGCCCCCUCCAAGAUGAGACUUCCCACAGCGCAAGCUGGUAAGACCCCUCAUAGACGAUGAGGUUGAUAGGUUCGGUGUGGAAGCGUGGUAACACGUGGAGCUGACGAAUACUAAUCGGUCGAGGACUUAUCCA